GAAUAGCAGGGGAGACAAUUAAGGUUUGAAUGAGUCAGCUGAUGAGUAUAUAUGCUUAGGAGUUGAGGAAGUUAUUAUAUAAAGCAUAUCCCCCAACCUAUCAUGGGACUCCAGAAGCAGAAUUAUUAGGCAAGAGGAGUGUUCUCUCUAACCAAUCUGUUGUAGAAGGGAAUUUCGAGGUCUUGGUGUGUAAGGCUCGCUAAGUGGAAGGAGACAAACCUUGGGACAGAAGAGAAACCAAGGGGAAAAAAAGCCUCCAAGGAAGCCUAGUGAUGACUCUGAAGAGAAAUAAAGGGGGCUACAAGUGCCAUCGAUGUGGCAGUACACAACACUUUAUUUGUGACUGUCCAUUCGAAGGAUGGGGAGCAACAAAAGAAGCUAGGUCUUAUUUUGUAAAUGGAGAGACUGAUAUAAUCUGCCCUGCUAACUGUGAUGGCCAGUCAUGACCACGUCCACGGCUGCAGACCGCUGAACUAGAGAAACAGAAGUGGGAGGCCAGAGGAGAGGAGCUCGAUGGUUAAGAGAAGAGCGAGCUGGAGGUGAAAACCUGAGCAACUGGAAUACACAGUGGAGACGUCGAUCUCUGGCUCCUUGGACGAGACAGGGACCGAGUGCACGGUAGAAGGAUGUCUUCCCAUUCAUGAUGCUUAACAGUUACCAGUGCUGCCGCCCUUUAAAGGAGCGAAGGAGUAUGCUGAAGAAGACUCGUUUGAGGAAUGGGUUGACCGCUUCGAGGAAAUGGCAGUCUAAUGUAGAUGGGACGACCAUAAAAA
This is a long non-coding RNA of Amphimedon queenslandica, 773 nucleotides long. RefSeq lists it as uncharacterized. The transcript has 2 exons. NCBI's taxonomy places the organism in Eukaryota, Metazoa, Porifera, Demospongiae, Haplosclerida, Niphatidae. The record is from RefSeq and is a predicted model, not a curated record.